RNAcentral lists this ribosomal RNA (281 nucleotides) under uncultured bacterium. Its description in RNAcentral is "partial 16S ribosomal RNA". It matches the Rfam family "Bacterial small subunit ribosomal RNA", at positions 15 to 296 of the family's 1533-position model. The record is from RNAcentral.
GAUCAUGGCUCAGGAUGAACGCUGGCGGCGCGCCUAACACAUGCAAGUCGAACGGCACCCCUCUCCGGAGGGAAGCGAGUGGCGAACGGCUGAGUAACACGUGGAGAACCUGCCCCCCUCCCCCCGGGAUAGCCGCCCGAAAGGACGGGUAAUACCGGAUACCCCCGGGCGCCGCAUGGCGCCCGGGCUAAAGCCCCGACGGGAGGGGGAUGGCUCCGCGGCCCAUCAGGUAGACGGCGGGGUGACGGCCCACCGUGCCGACAACGGGUAGCCGGGUUGAG